Molecule: small RNA, 2073 nt
Filed under: Limulus polyphemus (Atlantic horseshoe crab)
Lineage: Eukaryota; Metazoa; Arthropoda; Merostomata; Xiphosura; Limulidae
Description: cyclic nucleotide-gated cation channel alpha-3-like
Source: RNAcentral
AGCACCGCGAGUGACAACUCGAGAGGUGGACAGCUACAGCGCUUAUCACCGUCUUUUUCCGUAUGUAAUAAUAGUCAUUUAAGGAAACAUGGUCCGAGAAUAAUUACCGGUGUCAGAACAAUCACCUUGGAUUGAUAAUGCGCAGUGGUAUAAGGUUUACGAAGAAACUAUAGAGCUUUAAAUAUUGAGUUUACAGCCUUCUACAUGUUACAACUGGUAAAAACUAGGGAGGAUGAAACGAAUCUCUAUACCAACUAUACGGCAUAACCGAUGUUACAACUGGUAAAAACUAGAGACGAUGAAACGAAUCUCUAUACCAACUAUACGGCAUAACCGAUGUUACAACUGGUAAAAACUAGAGAAGAUGAAACGAAUCUCUAUACCAACUAUACGGCAUAACCGAUGUUACAACUGGUAAAAACUAGAGAGGAUGAAACGAAUCUCUAUACCAACUAUACGGCAUAACCGAUGUUACAACUGGUAAAAACUAGAGAGGAUGAAACGAAUCUCUAUACCAACUAUACGGCAUAACCGAUGUUACAACUGGUAAAAACUAGAGAGGAUGAAACGAAUCUCUAUACCAACUAUACGGCAUAACCGCGAAACAGGCAAGACUGUGAAAUACACUCCUUGUUCUAAACAUGAUUUAAACCUGGGAGAUGAUCUGGACGAAAUAGCUGUUAUAAGCAACGCUGCGCCAGAAAACGUCAAGUAUGGUACCGGAUCUCUGACCGCCAACGGGCCACGAGUGGUGCCGGGAAUUAUAACGUCUACCGGGAUGGAACACUCUCGUCUCGUUAAUGAGAAAAGAAGUUCGAGUAGCACUCGUCUCCCGAUAUCAUCACCUCUCUACACCACAAAAUCAUUUGAAAAUUUAAAAUCAAAAUCUGCUUCAAGGCAAAGCCUGCUGGAAACAGCGAGCAGCAAACUGCACGGUAGAGACCAUAAGCAGCGAUCACGAGAAUCUAUAACCUUUAGCCACAAAACACACAUGGGGUCAGAAUUGGAGAUUUCUCGAAAAGUAAGAGAGCAUCGACGGAAAGAAAUCAAGCGAGAAUUUGAAAAAUGGGAAACGUCUACUUCAAGUAGCGAAAAGGAUGGCUGUAACUGGACGUUUGUUUUUGAUCCAUCAGGCAGUUUGUCCUAUUAUUGGUCAAUGAUUGUAAGUGUUGCUUUUCUCUAUAAUUUCUGGGUAGUGAUCUUUCGGUUUGCCUUUAAUGAAAUAAAAGCGAAUACCAUUGUGGCCUGGUUAACUUUAGAUUAUUUUGCAGACAUUCUGUAUGCUUUAGACAUUGUUUUUCAUUUUCGUACCGGAUAUCUGGAAGAAGGAGUGCUACAGACCGACACAAUUAAGCUUCGCCAUCAUUAUAUGAAUUCAACUCUAUUUUAUAUUGAUUGUUUAUGUCUCUUGCCUAUCGAUUUCCUUUAUCUUUCCAUUGGAUUUAACUCAAUUCUUCGCUGUCUUCGACUGGUAAAAAUUUAUAGGUUUUGGACAUUUUUGGAUCGAACUGAGCGACAUACAAACUACCCAAAUGUCUUUCGUACGGUGAUUCUGACUCAUUAUGUUCUCGUAAUCUUCCACUGGAACGCCUGUCUAUUUCAUAUAAUAUCAGUAAAUGGAGGAUUCGGUACACGCAGCUGGUUUAACCCUCGCGAUGAAACCUGCAAUGAUGUAGUAUGUGAAUACCUUCGUUCUUUUUAUUGGAGUACCUUAGCACUGACCACCAUUGGAGAUCUGCCAAGUCCCCGAACUAAAGGAGAAUACCUCUUCCUCGUCGUUGAGCUAGUCUUUGGGCUGUUCCUCUUUGCUGCUGUGUUGGGCCAUGUGGCUAACAUUGUCACCAACGUGAGCACAGCAAGGAAAGAAUUUCAAUUGUAUAUAUACAUACACACAUUCUAACAUUCCUCCAGGUUGUUAUAUCGUCUUUAAAGAAUUAUUGGUUGCGUUUUGUUGUUGUUGUAAUUAUUUAUCAUAAGUGCACAUUGGUCUUUCUUAUAAAAACUCAUUAUUCAUUAGCCUGUUAUUAUUUCAUUAGUGCAUCAACAUUGCAAGUAUAACAUGAUUGUGACAAA